Molecule: long non-coding RNA, 1162 nt
Organism: Oncorhynchus keta (chum salmon)
Lineage: Eukaryota; Metazoa; Chordata; Actinopteri; Salmoniformes; Salmonidae
Exons: 5
Source: RefSeq, a predicted model, not a curated record
ACACAGACCAGGUUAUCAACAAGUCACACCAGUGUAAGCCUACACCAGACACAGACCAGGUUAUCAACAAGUCACACCAGUGUAAGCCUACACCAGACACAGACCAGGUUAUCAACAAGUCACACCAGUGUAAGCCUACACCAGACACAGACCAGGUUAUCACCAGACACAGACCAGGUUAUCAACAAGUCACACCAGUGUAAGCCUACACCAGACACAGACCAGGUUAUCAACAAGUCACACCAGUGUAAGCCUACACCAGACACAGACCAGGUUAUCAACAAGUCACACCAGUGUAAGCCUACACCAGACACAGACCAGGUUAUCAACAAGUCACACCAGUGUAAGCCUACACCAGACACAGACCAGGUUAUCAACAAGUCACACCAGUGUAAGCCUACACCAGACACAGACCAGGUUAUCAACAAGUCACACCAGUGUAAGCCUACACCAGACACAGACCAGGUUAUCACCAGACACAGACCAGGUUAUCAACAAGUCACACCAGUGUAAGCCUACACCAGACACAGACCAGGUUAUCAACAAGUCACACCAGUGUAAGCCUACACCAGACACAGACCAGGUUAUCAACAAGUCACACCAGUGUAAGCCUACACCAGACACAGACCAGGUUAUCAACAAGUCACACCAGUGUAAGCCUACACCAGACACAGACCAGGUUAUCAACAUGUCACACCAGUGUAAGCCUACACCAGACACAGACCAGGUUAUCAACAAGUCACACCAGUGUCAGCCUACACCAGACACAGACCAGGUUAUCAACCAGUCACCAGACACAGACCAGGUUAUCAACAAGUCACACCAGUGUAAGCCUACACCAGACACAGACCAGGUUAUCACCAUGUCACACCAGUGUAAGCCUACACCAGACACAGACCAGGUUAUCAACAAGUCACACCAGUGUAAGCCUACACCAGACACAGACCAGGUUAUCACCAUGUCACACCAGUGUAAGCCUACACCAGACACAGACCAGGUUAUCAACAAGUCACACCAGUGUAAGCCUACACCAGACACAGACCUUGAAUAAAAGGAGUUCCAAAAUCCCAGAUGGAAAAAUGAAUUGUCAAAAAAACAAUUGGAACCAUUUCUGGGUUUUAUGACUCAUACUGUCGUACUCAAUACUUGAUAACUUUGUGCU